GACGAACGCUGGCGGCGUGCUUAACACAUGCAAGUCGAACGGGUCUGCCCUGUUUUUUGCGGGGUGGGUCAGUGGCGAACGGGUGAGUAACACGUGAGUAACCUGCCCCUCACUUCUGGAUAACCGCUUGAAAGGGUGGCUAAUACGGGGUGUUCUGGCUGUGCCGCAUGGUGUGGCUGGGAAAGAUUCACUUUUGUGGUGUUUUGGUGGGGGAUGGGCUCGCGGCCUAUCAGCUUGUUGGUGGGGUGAUGGCCUGCCAAGGCUUUGACGGGUAGCCGGCCUGGGAGGGUGGGCGGUCACACUGGGACGGAGAUACGGCCCAGACUCCUGCGGGAGGCAGCAGGGGGGGGUAUUGCACAAUGGGCGGAAGGCUGAUGCAGCGACGUCGCGUGAGGGAUGGAGGCCUUCGGGUUGUGAACCUCUUUCGCCGGUGAAGAAGGUCCUGCUCUUUGUGGUGGGGUUGACGGUAGCCGGGCUAUGAAGCGCCGGCUAACUACGUG
This 500-nucleotide ribosomal RNA is filed under the name uncultured bacterium. RNAcentral's name for it is "partial 16S ribosomal RNA". It matches the Rfam family "Bacterial small subunit ribosomal RNA", at positions 28 to 507 of the family's 1533-position model. The record is from RNAcentral.